UAAAAGCUUGGUCCUGACUUUUCUAUCAGCUCUAACUAAACUUACACAUGCAAGUAUCCGCAUUCCCGUGAGUAACGCCCUAUAAUUUUCCACCCGAAAACAAGGAGCUGGUAUCAGGCACAAUCUUAUUUAGCCCACGACACCUAGCUUAGCCACACCCCUAAGGGAAUUCAGCAGUGAUAAACAUUAAGCAAUGAGUGAAAGCUCGACUUAGUUAUAGAUAUUUUAGGGCCGGUCAAGCUCGUGCCAGCCACCGCGGUUAUACGAGAGGCCCAAGUUGAUAGCUAUCGGCGUAAAGCGUGAUUAGGGAAAAUAAAAACUAAGGUCGAAUAUUUUCACUGCUGUUAUACGCAUAUGAAAACAUGAAAAUCACCUACGAAAGUGGCCUUAACAUAGCCUGAAUACACGAAAACUAUGGGACAAACUGGGAUUAGGUACCCCACUAUGCAUAGCCGUAAACUUUGAUAAAACAUUACUUUUUUAUCCGCCAGGGGACUACAAGCAUAAGCUUAAAACCCAAAGGACUUGGCGGUGCUUUAGACCCACCUAGAGGAGCCUGUUCUAGAACCGAUAACCCCCGUUAAACCUCACCCCUUCUUGUUAUUUACCGCCUAUAUACCGCCGUCGUCAGCUUACCUUGUGAAAGAAUAAAAGUAAACAAAAACGGUUUAAACCCAAAACGUCAGGUCGAGGUGUAGCGAAUGAAGAGGGAAGAAAUGGGCUACAUUUCCUGUAUUCAGGAAAUAACGGAAUAUAUUAUGAAAUGAAUAUAUGAAGGAGGAUUUAGCAGUAAAUGGAAAAUAGAGUGUUCCAUUGAAACUGGCCCUGAAGCGCGCACACACCGCCCGUCACUCUCCCCGAACCUGUAUAAUUAAUUAAAUAAAACACUAGUUUGGUACAAGGGGAGGCAAGUCGUAACAUGGUAAGUGUACCGGAAGGUGUACUUGGAAAAAA
Molecule: non-coding RNA, 954 nt
Filed under: Epiplatys guineensis
Lineage: Eukaryota; Metazoa; Chordata; Actinopteri; Cyprinodontiformes; Nothobranchiidae
Description: 12S ribosomal RNA
Rfam family: Bacterial small subunit ribosomal RNA
Source: RNAcentral